Molecule: ribosomal RNA, 888 nt
Filed under: Lactiplantibacillus plantarum
Lineage: Bacteria; Bacillati; Bacillota; Bacilli; Lactobacillales; Lactobacillaceae
Description: bacterial SSU rRNA
Rfam family: Bacterial small subunit ribosomal RNA
Source: RNAcentral
CAUGCAAGUCGAACGAACUUCCGUUAAUUGAUUAUGACGUACUUGUACUGAUUGAGAUUUUAACACGAAGUGAGUGGCGAACGGGUGAGUAACACGUGGGUAACCUGCCCAGAAGUAGGGGAUAACACCUGGAAACAGAUGCUAAUACCGUAUAACAGAGAAAACCGCAUGGUUUUCUUUUAAAAGAUGGCUCUGCUAUCACUUCUGGAUGGACCCGCGGCGUAUUAGCUAGUUGGUGAGGUAAAGGCUCACCAAGGCAGUGAUACGUAGCCGACCUGAGAGGGUAAUCGGCCACAUUGGGACUGAGACACGGCCCAGACUCCUACGGGAGGCAGCAGUAGGGAAUCUUCCACAAUGGACGCAAGUCUGAUGGAGCAACGCCGCGUGAGUGAAGAAGGGUUUCGGCUCGUAAAGCUCUGUUGUUAAAGAAGAACGUGGGUAAGAGUAACUGUUUACCCAGUGACGGUAUUUAACCAGAAAGCCACGGCUAACUACGUGCCAGCAGCCGCGGUAAUACGUAGGUGGCAAGCGUUAUCCGGAUUUAUUGGGCGUAAAGCGAGCGCAGGCGGUCUUUUAAGUCUAAUGUGAAAGCCUUCGGCUCAACCGAAGAAGUGCAUUGGAAACUGGGAGACUUGAGUGCAGAAGAGGACAGUGGAACUCCAUGUGUAGCGGUGAAAUGCGUAGAUAUAUGGAAGAACACCAGUGGCGAAGGCGGCUGUCUGGUCUGCAACUGACGCUGAGGCUCGAAAGCAUGGGUAGCGAACAGGAUUAGAUACCCUGGUAGUCCAUGCCGUAAACGAUGAUUACUAAGUGUUGGAGGGUUUCCGCCCUUCAGUGCUGCAGCUAACGCAUUAAGUAAUCCGCCUGGGGAGUACGACCGCAAGGUUG